AGAGUUUGAUCAUGGCUCAGGAUUAACGCUGGCGGCGCACAUAAGACAUGCAAGUCGAACGGACUUAAUCGAUUCUUUUAGAUUCGAAGCGGUUAGUGGCGGACUGGUGAGUAACACGUAAGGAACCUGCCUAUUAGAGGGGAAUAACAACGAGAAAUCGUUGCUAAUACCGCAUAAGCUGGAGGUAUCGCAUGAUACAGUCAGAAAAGGAGUAAUCCGCUAAUAGAUGGCCUUGCGUCCGAUUAGCUAGUUGGUGGGGUAACGGCCUACCAAGGCAACGAUCGGUAGCCGAGCUGAGAGGCUCAACGGCCACAUUGGGACUGAGAUACGGCCCAGACUCCUACGGGAGGCAGCAGUCGGGAAUAUUGCGCAAUGGAGGAAACUCUGACGCAGUGACGCCGCGUAUAGGAAGAAGGUUUUCGGAUUGUAAACUAUUUUAGACAGGGAAGAAGAUGACAGUACCUGUAGAAUAAGCUCCGGCUAACUACGUGCCAGCAGCCGCGGUAAUACGUAGGGAGCAAGCGUUAUCCGGAUUUAUUGGGUGUAAAGGGUGCGUAGAUGGGAGAACAAGUUAGUUGUGAAAGCCCUCGGCUUAACUGAGGAACUGCAACUAAAACUAUUUUUCUUGAGUGCAGGAGAGGAAAGCGGAAUUCCUAGUGUAGCGGUGAAAUGCGUAGAUAUUAGGAGGAACACCAGUGGCGAAGGCGGCUUUCUGGACUGUAACUGACAUUGAGGCACGAAAGUGUGGGGAGCAAACAGGAUUAGAUACCCUGGUAGUCCACACUGUAAACGAUGGAUACUAGGUGUAGGAGAUGAUUUCAUCAUCUGUGCCGAAAGCAAACGCAAUAAGUAUCCCACCUGGGGAGUACGGCCGCAAGGUUGAAACUCAAAGGAAUUGACGGGGGCCCGCACAAGCAGUGGAGUAUGUGGUUUAAUUCGAAGCAACGCGAAGAACCUUACCAGGGCUUGACAUAUACAG
This 979-nucleotide ribosomal RNA is filed under the name uncultured rumen bacterium. RNAcentral describes it as "bacterial SSU rRNA". It matches the Rfam family "Bacterial small subunit ribosomal RNA", at positions 8 to 993 of the family's 1533-position model. The record is from RNAcentral.